CAGACUCUGCGUGUCUCUCCCAGCCCUGCGGCUCCCACUGUCCCCGGGGCGGGGCCUGGGCCUGGUUGCCCGGAGGUGUGGCCACGCUCUCACCCCUCCAGGGGCCGGAAGCCAACUGCUCCUGCUCUGGCAGAGGCCUCCUCGCCGCCUGGGCUGUCCUGCGCUUCAGAGCUUCAGACCAGAGGAACAAAGCCUCCCGCAUCCUGUGCCUGGGGGCCUCUCCAGCUUCAGGCACAGGGCGAGGAGCUCGAGAGAGCCUCGGGGAAGAACUCGGCGGAGCCCCGAAGCUGCCUAUGUCAUCGAGCCCUGGACUAGGGCUGGGGUCAGGAGGGUAGUCCAGGCCGGGGUGGGGCCAGUGGGUGGCCUAGGUGGGCUUUGGUCACCCGGAACUGGCCCCCAGUCUUUGACUCACGGGCUGCCCGUGGGAGGUUUUAAUGUCACCUGACAGAUGGUACUUGGGCCUCAGGGAAGCAGGGUCUCCCUGACUGAGAGCAGGUGGUCGUCAUCGAGGAGAAAACUGAGCACAGUUUGGAGGACACCAUGGGGUGACUUCAGUGACACCACAAGAUUUCAUUAACAAAUCCACCCAGAUCCCCAAAAAGCCCAGCCUGUCCCACGGAGGACCAAGUUCUAGGGUGCUGCUCCAGGUGUGGGACAGGUGCCCCUGCCCAAGGACACGGGGACAGUGGGACUGUAGCCCUGGGGAGCACUCGGCCACCUCACCGCCCCUCCUCAGAGUCCACAGCACCACAGUCCGCAGCACUGGGCUCCGUCCCAGGAGACCACACCUCUCCAGGACAGGCCAGCUCUGAGCUAGUAGCAGAGGGGCCUUGGAGGAGUCUCAGAGUGGGGGACAGUGCCGCAGCAGUGCCCGCCAUCCUUCCUGCUGGGUAGCACUGGCUUCUCCCGUUUGUUCCCUGAGCUCAGAGAGUAAGAACAGUCCCUAGGUUUACCAGGUACUUGCCCACCGCUGUCCCCUCUGGCAUCUUGUGGAUCUCUUGUCAGUGUGUCCCCAGCAACCAGGUUGCCCCAUGCUGUCAUCUUCUGCCAAUGGCACUUUACCUGGGCAGAGGCCCCAGCUCACCCCUCACUUGACCAGGCCUGCAGAGUGGGCCGCAGUGUUACUGGGGAUUUAGGGCCACUAGGGCCCCUGUACAAAGCUGGAGCUUGAGCCCCGGUGUCUCAGGGGAAGAGGACCGGGCUGGGCCUGCCAAAGGAGAGCUGCUCCUUGGGCUCCUCAGGCCCACAGACGCGGCCCGUGUCGCAGGCCCCCUGUGCUCUCAGCCUCCCCUCUGCUGGAGGCUGGCAGAGCAGCCAUGGCCCACAGGGACGCACACCUGCAGUGACCCUGCGUGGGGGCCUGCUUGAGAUAAGCACACGUCCCACAGCACCAAGGAUCUAGCCACGGUGCUUUCCCCAAGUUGUGAGGCUCUUACCGAGUUUUCUAACUUAAUAAAAAGAGUUGAACAAAUUCUUGGCCUGCCUUGGUUGCUGGGAUGUCUU
This 1503-nucleotide long non-coding RNA is filed under the name Heterocephalus glaber (naked mole-rat). RNAcentral describes it as "lncRNA (ENSHGLG00000043025.1)". The record is from RNAcentral. Lineage: Eukaryota; Metazoa; Chordata; Mammalia; Rodentia; Bathyergidae.